RNAcentral lists this ribosomal RNA (496 nucleotides) under Brettanomyces anomalus. RNAcentral's name for it is "eukaryotic LSU rRNA". It matches the Rfam family "Eukaryotic large subunit ribosomal RNA", at positions 90 to 592 of the family's 3401-position model. The record is from RNAcentral. Lineage: Eukaryota; Fungi; Ascomycota; Pichiomycetes; Pichiales; Pichiaceae.
CGAAUGAAGCGGCAAGAGCCCAAAUUUGAAAUCAGGCCCUCGUGGCUUGAGUUGUAAUUUGGAGACGGGAUACUAGAGAGAGGGAGGGCGACUAAGUGCCUUGGAACAGGCUGCCGUAGAGGGUGAGAGCCCCGUGAGUCGCGUGAACUYGAUCAAUUAGUGCCCGCCGAAGAGUCGAGUUGUUUGGGAAUGCAGCUCUAAGUGGGUGGUAUAUUCCAUCUAAGGCUAAAUAUUAGCGAGAGACCGAUAGCAAACAAGUACAGUGAUGGAAAGAUGAAAAGAACUUUGGAAAGAGAGUGAAAUAGUACGUGAAAUUGUUGAAAGGGAAGGGUAUUUGAUCCGACAUGGUGUUUAGCAGCGGCCCGUUCCUCGUGGAUGGGUGCACCUGGUUUACACUGGGCCAGCAUCGGUUCUGGGAGCCAUAUACGGGGCAGGCGAAUGUGGCCCUUCGAUUCUGUCGGAGGGUGUUAUAGCGCCAGCCAGACGUGGCUAUCCG